RNAcentral lists this transfer RNA (76 nucleotides) under Candidatus Jacksonbacteria bacterium RIFCSPHIGHO2_02_FULL_44_25. RNAcentral's name for it is "tRNA-Ile". It matches the Rfam family "tRNA". Rfam says of the family: Transfer RNA (tRNA) molecules are approximately 80 nucleotides in length. Their secondary structure includes four short double-helical elements and three loops (D, anti-codon, and T loops). RNAcentral also lists the same sequence under 4 other names. The record is from RNAcentral. Lineage: Bacteria; Candidatus Jacksoniibacteriota.
GGGCCCGUAGCUCAAUUGGUAGAGCGGAUGAUUGAUACCCAUCAGGUUGGGGGUUCAAAUCCCCUCGGGUCCACCA